RNAcentral lists this long non-coding RNA (1146 nucleotides) under Sorghum bicolor (sorghum). RNAcentral's name for it is "long non-coding RNA (SBIC_LNC015045)". Lineage: Eukaryota; Viridiplantae; Streptophyta; Magnoliopsida; Poales; Poaceae. The record is from RNAcentral.
GGGCUAGGGUGGCUCCACGAGCGCGUAGAUUGGAAAGGAGAGUCGAGAAGGAGAUCACGGAGCCUAAAAGGGCUCGGCUUUGGCGAAUUUGGCAGAAAAUCCCGUGUGAAUCAGGAUUUAGCUCCCGAUCGGGAGUCCUGCAUGGCUCCGACUUGAGGUUGAAGAAGACCGGCUGACAGGUGGGGUCAUAGUGUCAGAGAGAAUAAAGAAUGGGGCCCGGUUGACAGAGGGGAAGAAGAGAGGGGAGGCGCGGCUUGGAUGGCCGAGUGGGCCGCUGCGAUGCAUUGGGCCGGGGGUGCGAUCGGAGCUGGGCGUUGGGCCACGCAAAGAAAGGAAAAGGGGGAGGGAAGCUGGGCCGCGCGCGCUGGUUAGGGAGUAGGCCGAAAGGGGGAGGAAAGGAGGAGUGGGCCUUCGGGCCAGAAUCAGGUGGGGAGAGUUUUGGUUUGUUUGUUUUUUUCCUUUUUAUUUUAUUCCAAAGCCAUUUGAAACUCAUUUAAAAUUCCUUUUAAAUCAUUUGAAUUUUGAGUUCAAAAAUACUCAGCAUAGUAAACAAAAUGCAGAAGCAUGAGUGCACAAAAAUGUUGCUACACCCUAUGAUAGAUUUUAUUUUGAUGAAAAAUAUUAUUUCUCUAUUUUUCAUGAACACAAAAAUACAAAAUUAAAUCAUUUUCCACCUAUUUCAAAAGUUUUAAAUUUUUGGGUGUUACAGUUGCACCCUAGUUCUACACAUGUCGCUAACUACCCAUCAUCCACCAUCCAUGUCUAGUGUGCCCCUAGAGAAAUCACCAUGAGGAUCUUCAAUGGGGCUAGCACCACACGUACCUAGGGCUGACAUCACUUAUUGCGUUAAUCAGGUGCCAUAGGUUUUUUAGAUCUAUUGGUUAAAGAUGAUGCCAAACAAUUCUUUUGUAUUUUUCUAAUUGAAGAGUGGGUUGAGUCACCCACCACCUCAUCUUCAAUUGCCUAAACUCUAACAAUGGCAUCAUCCUAUUUUGACCUAUAUGUGGUAGGGCUCAGAUCAGGAUCUCUAGGAGAUGAUGACCUUGAACAUUGCUACCUCAUCACUUCAUUCACAUGGUCAUGCUCAUCGAUUCAACAUCACCACCAUUGACUAGGAUGCCUCCGUCAUGACUGCCGCUAGUACUU